UUCUAGAUCUGUUCAAGAUCUGUGCGAGGCCAAAAAAUCAGAGAACCAGAGAGAGAAACCGAAUCGCACUCCUUCAGGCCGAAAGCCCGAAUCUAAUACUGAGUUUGGUAAAUUUUCUUCUACCUUACAUCUGGUUAUUCCUCUUUUAAAUUAAAUCCUUAAUCCCAUGUAGAGAAAUUGGGAAUAGAAAACUGAAAAGAGGGCCGAUUGUAUGAAACUAAAGUUGUUCGAAAACUUUCUAAUUUCUUCUUUCGUUGGGG
RNAcentral lists this long non-coding RNA (260 nucleotides) under Carica papaya (papaya). RNAcentral's name for it is "long non-coding RNA (CPAP_LNC006731)". Lineage: Eukaryota; Viridiplantae; Streptophyta; Magnoliopsida; Brassicales; Caricaceae. The record is from RNAcentral.